CGAACGCUGGCGGCGUGCUUAACACAUGCAAGUCGAACGGAAAGGCCCUGCUUUUGUGGGGUACUCGAGUGGCGAACGGGUGAGUAACACGUGAGUAACCUGCCCUUGACUUUGGGAUAACUUCAGGAAACUGGGGCUAAUACCGGAUAGGAGCUCCUGCUGCAUGGUGGGGGUUGGAAAGUUUCGGCGGUUGGGGAUGGACUCGCGGCUUAUCAGCUUGUUGGUGGGGUAGUGGCUUACCAAGGCUUUGACGGGUAGCCGGCCUGAGAGGGUGACCGGCCACAUUGGGACUGAGAUACGGCCCAGACUCCUACGGGAGGCAGCAGUGGGGAAUAUUGCACAAUGGGCGGAAGCCUGAUGCAGCAACGCCGCGUGCGGGAUGACGGCCUUCGGGUUGUAAACCGCUUUCGCCUGUGACGAAGCGUGAGUGACGGUAAUGGGUAAAGAAGCACCGGCUAACUACGUG
Molecule: ribosomal RNA, 466 nt
Filed under: uncultured bacterium
Lineage: Bacteria
Description: partial 16S ribosomal RNA
Rfam family: Bacterial small subunit ribosomal RNA
Source: RNAcentral